GGGGAUGUAGCUCAGUGGCAGAGCACUUGCCUAGCAUGCCUGAGGCCCUGAGUUCAAUCCCCAGUACCCUA
This 71-nucleotide transfer RNA is filed under the name Heterocephalus glaber (naked mole-rat). It matches the Rfam family "tRNA". Rfam says of the family: Transfer RNA (tRNA) molecules are approximately 80 nucleotides in length. Their secondary structure includes four short double-helical elements and three loops (D, anti-codon, and T loops). Further hydrogen bonds mediate the characteristic L-shaped molecular structure. tRNAs have two regions of fundamental functional importance: the anti-codon, which is responsible for specific mRNA codon recognition, and the 3' end, to which the tRNAs corresponding amino acid is attached (by aminoacyl-tRNA synthetases). tRNAs cope with the degeneracy of the genetic code in two manners: having more than one tRNA (with a specific anti-codon) for a particular amino acid; and 'wobble' base-pairing, i.e. permitting non-standard base-pairing at the 3rd anti-codon position. The record is from Rfam by way of RNAcentral. Lineage: Eukaryota; Metazoa; Chordata; Mammalia; Rodentia; Bathyergidae.